GUUGAAUCAGAUGGAGGAGUCCAGGCCAGUAUUAGAGUAGGUUGAAUCAGCUGGAGGAGUCCAGGCCAGUAUUAGAGUAGGUUGAAUCAGAUGGAGGAGUCCAGGCCAGUAUUAGCGUAGGUUGAAUCAGCUGGAGGAGUCCAGGCCAGUAUUAGAGUAGGUUGAAUCAGCUGAUGGAGACCAGGCCAGUAUUAGAGUAGGUUGUAUCAGAAUCAGCUGGAGGAGUCCAGGCCAGUAUUAGUGUAGGUUGAAUCAGCUGGAGGAGUCCAGGCCAGUAUUAGUGUAGGUUGAAUCAGCUGAAGGAGUCCAGGCCAGUAUUAGAGUAGGUUGAAUCAGCUGAUGCAGUCUAGGCCAGUAUUAGAGUAGGUUGAAUCAGCUGGAGGAGUCCAGGCCAGUAUUAGUGUAGGUUGAAUCAGCUGAAGGAGUCCAGGCCAGUAUUAGAGUAGGUUGAAUCAGCUGAAGGAGUCCAGGCCAGUAUUAGUGUAGGUUGAAUCAGUUGGAGGAGUCCAGGCCAGUAUUAGUGUAGGUUGAAUCAGCUGAUGGAGUCCAGGCCAGUAUUAGUGUAGGUUGAAUCAGCUGAAGGAGUCCAGGCCAGUAUUAGUGUAGGUUGAAUCAGCUGAUGGAGUCCAGGCCAGUAUUAGUGUAGGUUGAAUCAGCUGGAGGAGUCCAGGCCAGGCUGUUGCUGCUUAGGCGACACACUCAUUCACACCACAAGGUCAAUUUUAUACUUAUACUGAAAGCAUGGUGUUUGUGUGAUUAAUCAUUGAACACGUCUCUUAUUUUACAUGUUCCUGAUUACAUUAACACAGCACUAGCCAGACACUUCUCAGUAUUCAUCACACCUGUGUGUGUGUGUGUGUGUGUGUGUGUGUGUGUGUGUGUGUGUGUGUGUGUGUGUGUGUGUGUGUGUGUG
RNAcentral lists this long non-coding RNA (913 nucleotides) under Salmo salar (Atlantic salmon). Its description in RNAcentral is "lncRNA (ENSSSAG00000092371.1)". The record is from RNAcentral. Lineage: Eukaryota; Metazoa; Chordata; Actinopteri; Salmoniformes; Salmonidae.